CAGGAGACUUACUCGACCUCUUGAAGAGAUCUUGAGGGAUCUUAACAAGAGAGUCCCCGACAGCCUCAUCAAGAACAAUUCCAUCUUGUGAGUUUCAGAACAUCUAGGAAGAGUGGAUUUCACAAAGCUGGUUUUAGAACGAGAGAUCUAAACAAGACCAAAGCGAGGCGAUUUCACUGAAGCCUGAGGACCGAUGACGAAACUUUGGUGGGAUUUCUGGACUUAUUGUCAUUUUUCUCCAGAUAUUAAUCAGAACGAGAGAUCGUGAGCAGUUUAGUUUGCAGAACGAGAGGUUGAAGAAAGCCAAAAAUGGAGCGGCCUGCUUCUUUGGAUGAAUACGAGAAGCUCGUCAUCCGCAUGAAUACUCCUCGGUAAUUUCAUAGCCAUUGUAAAUAAUUUAUGUAAAAGUUUGUAAACAAUUUAUGUAUCUCUCUAUUAUUUUGGUAAAUAUAUUAUUUGAAUAUAA
Long non-coding RNA from Asparagus officinalis (garden asparagus), 466 nucleotides. RefSeq lists it as uncharacterized. The transcript has 2 exons. NCBI's taxonomy places the organism in Eukaryota, Viridiplantae, Streptophyta, Magnoliopsida, Asparagales, Asparagaceae. The record is from RefSeq and is a predicted model, not a curated record.